GAUGAACGCUGGCGGCGUGCUUAACACAUGCAAGUCGAACGAAGCACUUAAGAUUGAUUCUUCGGAUGACGUCUUUUGUGACUUAGUGGCGGACGGGUGAGUAACGCGUGGGUAACCUGCCUCACACAGGGGGAUAACAGUUAGAAAUGACUGCUAAUACCGCAUAACCCGAUAGGAUCGCAUGAUCCAGACGGAAAAGAUUUAUCGGUGUGAGAUGGACCCGCGUCUGAUUAGCUAGUUGGUGAGGUAACGGCCCACCAAGGCGACGAUCAGUAGCCGGGCUGAGAGGGUGAACGGCCACAUUGGGACUGAGACACGGCCCAAACUCCUACGGGAAGCAGCAGUGGGGAAUAGUGCACAAUGGGGGAAACCCUGAUGCAGCGACGCCGCGUGAGUGAAGAAGUAUUUCGGUAUGUAAAGCUCUAUCAGCAGGGAAGAAAAUGACGGUACCUGACUAAGAAGCCCCGGCUAACUACGUG
RNAcentral lists this ribosomal RNA (479 nucleotides) under uncultured bacterium. RNAcentral's name for it is "partial 16S ribosomal RNA". It matches the Rfam family "Bacterial small subunit ribosomal RNA", at positions 28 to 507 of the family's 1533-position model. The record is from RNAcentral.